AUAUAGAUAAAUAUAAUUACAUAGAAUUUAAAUACAUAUAUGUAUGUUAAAAUUCUACGUGUAUAUUUAAGUAAUCUUUUAACAUAAUUAUGUGAUUUAAUUAAUUAGAAUUUGAUUGACGUGCCUGACAACUCAGGCAGAAGUGCAGAGAAUUUAAUUCGCACACACUAUAUUUAAUCCUGUAUCUUUCCAAGACACCAUAAAACCUGUACAUGGGGGGUACUGUUUUACUUGGGAGACUUUGCUGAACACAAAUAUUAGUGUUUCAAACUGGUAACUUGUAUUACAACGAUGAUAUAUUUAGUAACAGUAAAGUUUUUUGCAUUUUUCACACAUGAAGGGCACUUUUACUGAAGAUAUUACUGUUGUAAUAUGUUUUACUGUUUUGAAACACUUAUGUUUGUGUUCAGUGAAGCCUCACAAGUGUAACAGUACCCCCUAUUUACAGGUUUUAUGGUGUUUUGGAAAGUUAUAGAGUCAAAUAUAAGGCUUGCAUUUCAUUUUUUUCACAUUGAAUUUUGCCAGAUUGGUUACGUUGCCUUUGAGACCAUAUGGUAGCCCAGGAAUGAGAAUUACCCCCAUGAUGGCAUACCAUUUGCAAAAGUAGACAACCCAAGGUAUUGCAAAUGGGGUAUGUCCAGUCAUUUUUAGUAGCCACUUAGUCACAAACACUGGCCAAAUAUUUUUUUUUUUGCUUUUUUCACACAAAAACAAAAAUGAACGCUAACUUUGGCCAGUGUUUGUGACUAAGUGGCUACUAAAAAAAGACUGGACAUACCCCACUUGCUAUACCUUGGGUUGUCUACUUUGGCAGAUGGAAUGCCAUCAUGGGGGUAUAGCAAUUUGAGCAAGUUGGCCUAUCAUUGAAAAAAAAUACAUAGUACACAUAAUACUUUAUAGUUAGUUUCUCUAUUUGUUACAGUAUCAAGUUCAUGCUACAGUAAGAGGAGACACUCCGAGCUGUUGAUUUAGACUAUUUCCUAAAUUAGAUUUAGAUUACUGUCCCCUAAUAACAAAUUGUUACAUUUGGGGGAUUGUGGGCUACCACAUGGUCUCAAAGGUAACAUUACUAAUCUGGUAAAUUUCAAUUUGAAAAAAUUGAAAAAUGGAAUGUGCUAUAUUUGACCCUGUUACUUUAUUAAAGCUAACAGUAUUGUGAC
Non-coding RNA from Pelobates cultripes (western spadefoot toad), 1160 nucleotides. Lineage: Eukaryota; Metazoa; Chordata; Amphibia; Anura; Pelobatidae. The record is from the annotation of a GenBank genome assembly.